RNAcentral lists this small nuclear RNA (91 nucleotides) under Vulpes vulpes (red fox). Lineage: Eukaryota; Metazoa; Chordata; Mammalia; Carnivora; Canidae. The record is from RNAcentral.
CUGCUUGCUUUGACACUACAUAUACUAAAGUUGGAAUGAUACACCCCUGAGUGAGGAUGACAUGCAAAUGCAUGAAGUGUUCCACAUUUAA